RNAcentral lists this ribosomal RNA (466 nucleotides) under uncultured bacterium. RNAcentral describes it as "partial 16S ribosomal RNA". It matches the Rfam family "Bacterial small subunit ribosomal RNA", at positions 28 to 507 of the family's 1533-position model. The record is from RNAcentral.
GACGAACGCUGGCGGUGUGCUUAACACAUGCAAGUCGAACGGUAAGGCCCUUUCGGGGGUACACGAGUGGCGAACGGGUGAGUGACACGUGAGUAACCUGCCCUCAUCUCUGGGAUAACAGUCGGAAACGGUUGCUAAUACUGGAUAUGAGCUUGCAAGGCAUCUUGUGGGUUGGAAAGAUUUUUUUGGUUGGGGAUGGACUCGCGGCCUAUCAGCUUGUUGGUGAGGUAGUGGCUCACCAAGGCUUCGACGGGUAGCCGGCCUGAGAGGGCGACCGGCCACAUUGGGACUGAGAUACGGCCCAAACUCCUACGGGAGGCAGCAGUGGGGAAUAUUGCACAAUGGACGGAAGUCUGAUGCAGCAACGCCGCGUGCGGGAUGACGGCCUUCGGGUUGUAAACCGCUUUCAAUUGUGACGAAGCUUUUUGUGACGGUAGCAGUAGAAGAAGCACCGGCUAACUACGUG